GGAAGUAUGGUUUGAGAACGAUCAUAGGAAUUUAGAGUUCAUUUGAUCCAUCCUGUACAAGGAUGUUUAAAAACUAAAAUCUUCAGAGUAGGAUAUGUCACUGGUGGUAUAAAAGAAAGAACACUAUACUAGAAGUCACUAAAUCUGCUUUCAAGACCAUUCACUACCAUGUGUCAUAGCAUCAUAAGAUCUUAGAUUUAAAACAGAAGACAACCUUAAAAAUCACCAUAUCAAACACAUGUGUGUGUGUGCGCGCACACGCAAAAUGAAGAAAUGACUAGCUGGUGACUUGAGAAUUUUCUGCCUAGGUAACAAGAAGAAGGAUGGUAAUUUUGAAGAAGUGAGAGAAGACUAGGAAGGAUAGUUGGUUGGAAGGAAGGGUAACAACUACCAUUUUAGACAUUGAGUUCUAGAUGCAAAAAUGCAUAGAGGUUUGCUUUUCUGUCAAGAAUUUGGAGAUGUUUACAUAAAGAACAGAAGAAGGUAAGAUUGAAGAUGUAUAAAAAAUCAAUUUUUUUAGAAGUUUUACAGUCAAAGAAUAUAAAGUUUUUGAGGGAGAGGAAUUAGUUUUCCCAGGACUGGACUUUGGGAUAUACUCAUACUGAAGGAAUGGAAUGAAGAUUUAAAGGUAAUAAUUGACUGAAAAAAAAGCUCAAGAUAUAGAAAGGAUAUCAACCAAAUGUUUUAGAAGUAGAGGCAAUUUAGUGCUGCAGUGAACAAAACACUGGACUUAGUCAGAAGGUCUAGAGUUCAAAUUUGACUUCAGUUAUUUAGUAGUUGUAUAAAGCAAACCCCCAACCUCAUCUACCACAAUUUCUUUGCCUAUAAAAUGAAGACAAUAAUAGUACCUCUCUCCAAAGGUUGUUGUAAGGAUCAAGUGAGAUAAUAUUUAUAAAGCAUUUAGCACAGUUUCUAGUGCCAGGUAGGUAUUAAUAAAUAUUUGUUACUUACCUUCUUUUGUAAUUAUAAAGAGUAAGAAGCCAGGAAAAAGAGGCAAAAAUAUACUUUCUUUCUUUCCAGAGGUUAGAGAUGAUAGCUAUGGAAUAUUGCAGAAACUGAAAGACACACAGGUUGAAGAGUUGAAUAUGAUGUGGGAGAUGAUGGUAAUGACUCAUAUAAAGGCAAGUGACAGCAAAAGAAAAUAUUAAAUCAUUAUCUCAUUUGAUCCUUAUAAUUAUCUUGAGAGAUUGAUGGCACAAGUUUUAAUGCCUUUAUUUUAUAGAUGAAGAAACUGAGGCUUAAUAAUGUUAAAUGACUAUCCUAUCAUCACACAAAAAUAAGAACAAAAAGUGGAAUUUGAACCAGCCUCCUUAGCUCCAGGUACAGAAAACUAGUCUUAAAAUUAAGAAUGAAAGUUAUAUCACAGCUUCAGGGGUUGGUAGAAUAGAAGAAAA
Molecule: long non-coding RNA, 1394 nt
Filed under: Monodelphis domestica (gray short-tailed opossum)
Lineage: Eukaryota; Metazoa; Chordata; Mammalia; Didelphimorphia; Didelphidae
Description: lncRNA (ENSMODG00000039798.1)
Source: RNAcentral